UACGUAGGGUGCAAGCGUUGUCCGGAUUUAUUGGGCGUAAAGAGCUCGUAGGCGGUUGGGUAAGUCGGGUGUGAAAACUCAGGGCUCAACUCUGAGACGCCACUCGAUACUGCUCUGACUCGAGUCCGGUAGGGGAGCGUGGAAUUCCCGGUGUAGCGGUGAAAUGCGCAGAUAUCGGGAGGAACACCAGCGGCGAAGGCGGGUCUCUGGGCCGAUACUGACGCUGAGGAGCGAAAGCGUGGGGAGCGAACAGG
Molecule: ribosomal RNA, 254 nt
Filed under: uncultured bacterium
Lineage: Bacteria
Description: partial 16S ribosomal RNA
Rfam family: Bacterial small subunit ribosomal RNA
Source: RNAcentral